RNAcentral lists this ribosomal RNA (497 nucleotides) under uncultured bacterium. Its description in RNAcentral is "partial 16S ribosomal RNA". It matches the Rfam family "Bacterial small subunit ribosomal RNA", at positions 28 to 507 of the family's 1533-position model. The record is from RNAcentral.
GAUGAACGCUGGCGGCGUGCCUAAUACAUGCAAGUCGAGCGAACGGACGAGAAGCUUGCUUCUCCGAUGUUAGCGGCGGACGGGUGAGUAACACGUGGAUAACCUACCUAUAAGACUGGGAUAACUUCGGGAAACCGGAGCUAAUACCGGAUAAUAUUUUGAACCGCAUGGUUCAAAAGUGAAAGACGGUCUUGCUGUCACUUAUAGAUGGAUCCGCGCUGCAUUAGCUAGUUGGUAAGGUAACGGCUUACCAAGGCAACGAUGCAUAGCCGACCUGAGAGGGUGAUCGGCCACACUGGAACUGAGACACGGUCCAGACUCCUACGGGAGGCAGCAGUAGGGAAUCUUCCGCAAUGGGCGAAAGCCUGACGGAGCAACGCCGCGUGAGUGAUGAAGGUCUUCGGAUCGUAAAACUCUGUUAUUAGGGAAGAACAUAUGUGUAAGUAACUGUGCGCAUCUUGACGGUACCUAAUCAGAAAGCCACGGCUAACUACGUG